Molecule: long non-coding RNA, 437 nt
Filed under: Rattus norvegicus (Norway rat)
Lineage: Eukaryota; Metazoa; Chordata; Mammalia; Rodentia; Muridae
Description: long non-coding RNA NONRATT009786
Source: RNAcentral
CGGCCGCCUCCAAAAGGGGCGGAGCUCGGCGGCGGCGCGCGCAGCUCCUAGAGCCCGCGGUUGGUCGGUUCUACUUUCCCUCCGCCUCCUUUAAAAGAGUUUUGUUAUGUUGCUAAAAUCAUGGUGAAAUGUUGCUCGGCCAUUGGAUGUGCUUCUCGCUGUUUGCCAAAUUCCAAGUUAAAAGGACUGACAUUUCAUGUAUUCCCCACAGAUGAAAACAUCAAAAGAAAAUGGGUGUUAGCCAUGAAAAGACUAGAUGUGAAUACUGCAGGCAUUUGGGAGCCAUCUCUCCAGCCUGAGAGUUUUUAUUUUAUUUUUAUGGAGAAUCUCUUCUUCAUCCUCCCACCCCAACUAUCACAUGCCGUUUAAUUUAUUUUGGAUAUAAUUAUUUCACUCAUCCAAUCUUAUAAAACAUAAACGCUGCUCAAAAUGUGGCU